GGGGAAUUUUGGACAAUGGGCGAAAGCCUGAUCCAGCCAUGCCGCGUGCAGGAUGAAGGCCUUCGGGUUGUAAACUGCUUUUGUACGGAACGAAAAGACUCCUUCUAAUAAAGGGGGUCCAUGACGGUACCGUAAGAAUAAGCACCGGCUAACUACGUGCCAGCAGCCGCGGUAAUACGGAGGGUGCGAGCGUUAAUCGGAAUUACUGGGCGUAAAGCGUGCGCAGGCGGUUUGUUAAGCGAGAUGUGAAAGCCCCGGGCUCAACCUGGGAUGGUCAUUUCGAACUGGCAAGCUAGAGUCUCGUAGAGGGGGGUAGAAUUCCAGGUGUAGCGGUGAAAUGCGUAGAGAUCUGGAGGAAUACCGGUGGCGAAGGCGGCCCCCUGGACGAAGACUGACGCUCAGGCACGAAAGCGUGGGGAGCAAACA
This 426-nucleotide ribosomal RNA is filed under the name uncultured Pseudomonadota bacterium. RNAcentral's name for it is "bacterial SSU rRNA". It matches the Rfam family "Bacterial small subunit ribosomal RNA", at positions 356 to 774 of the family's 1533-position model. Lineage: Bacteria; Pseudomonadati; Pseudomonadota. The record is from RNAcentral.